CUUAAAGAUGUUUGCACAAUAGGUUCUGAAUUUGAUCUAAUCAAGUCCAACUCAAUAGAUUUACUAGAUUAUGUCGGUUCUUCUAUCGAUCGGACUUCAUCAAGUUCAAUCUUUGAGAUAUUAGUUUCUUCUCCAAGGAACUCCUUUUCUAGAAAGACUGCCAUAUUGCUGACGAUCACCUUUUGUUCGUCAGCAAGGUAGAAGUAAUAUCCCUUGGUCUCUCUUGGGUACCC
This 233-nucleotide long non-coding RNA is filed under the name Elaeis guineensis (African oil palm). RNAcentral describes it as "long non-coding RNA (EGUI_LNC024201)". The record is from RNAcentral. Lineage: Eukaryota; Viridiplantae; Streptophyta; Magnoliopsida; Arecales; Arecaceae.